This 489-nucleotide ribosomal RNA is filed under the name Streptococcus mutans. RNAcentral describes it as "bacterial SSU rRNA". It matches the Rfam family "Bacterial small subunit ribosomal RNA", at positions 28 to 493 of the family's 1533-position model. Lineage: Bacteria; Bacillati; Bacillota; Bacilli; Lactobacillales; Streptococcaceae. The record is from RNAcentral.
GACGAACGCUGGCGGCGUGCCUAAUACAUGCAAGUGGGACGCAAGAGAACACACUGUGCUUGCACACCGUGUUUUCUUGAGUCGCGAACGGGUGAGUAACGCGUAGGUAACCUGCCUAUUAGCGGGGGAUAACUAUUGGAAACGAUAGCUAAUACCGCAUAAUAUUAAUUAUUGCAUGAUAAUUGAUUGAAAGAUGCAAGCGCAUCACUAGUAGAUGGACCUGCGUUGUAUUAGCUAGUUGGUAAGGUAAGAGCUUACCAAGGCGACGAUACAUAGCCGACCUGAGAGGGUGGUCGGCCACACUGGGACUGAGACACGGCCCAGACUCCUACGGGAGGCAGCAGUAGGGAAUCUUCGGCAAUGGACGAAAGUCUGACCGAGCAACGCCGCGUGAGUGAAGAAGGUUUUCGGAUCGUAAAGCUCUGUUGUAAGUCAAGAACGUGUGUGAGAGUGGAAAGUUCACACAGUGACGGAGCUACCAGAAAGGAC